Long non-coding RNA from Sipha flava (yellow sugarcane aphid), 1083 nucleotides. RefSeq lists it as uncharacterized. NCBI's taxonomy places the organism in Eukaryota, Metazoa, Arthropoda, Insecta, Hemiptera, Aphididae. The record is from RefSeq and is a predicted model, not a curated record. The transcript has 3 exons.
CAGAACGUGAGUCGCACCGCGUCGUAUGUUUUACAAACGUCAUCGGUUUCCAAUGACGUUAUUCAGAUUAAUUCUACGGUCGAACUACGUCACAUGUCUGCCGUGCUUCUUCGAAGAUUUACAAACUCAUAACAGUAUAUGUGUCGUGUACAUAAUAUAACUAUGCGAAGUGAUUUUGUUGAAGCCACACCGCCGUAUGAAAAUGUAUCGAUUUAAUAAAGGAAAUUCGAAAUUUAGAAGAAUUAAAACGAGAACAGUAUAAUGCUAUAGAACAACCAGGAAACCGUGAAGAAUGCUCCAGGAUCUGCUCUCGACCCCAUUCCAGAAGAAAAUCAAAGGACAUGUUCCGGCAGAAGAGUUCAUUUUCCAGACCCUUUUCAAGCAGGCCCAGUUGGACUCCGUCAUUGGUAGGAAAGUAAUGUAGCGAAGACGAUAACAUGCGAUAAGCAUUCUCGAAUUUUUUCGUAUGAUUAAACACUCAUCGAGAACAUUCGAGAAUCAAUACCAAAUUAAUACCUAAAUUUUACCGUUCAAAAUUAUCAAGAAUGAUUGAAAACACUCGUGAAUGUUAUCGUCUCCCUAUAUACAACGGUAGACUAGCAGUCGUGACCCAGUUAAUCUUAUCUACUACACCACGCGUGAUAGUUGCCGUAUGAUUGUUUUGUUCUUAUAAUCUAGUGUGUGUACGAUAUUCAUAUUUUCAUCACACGUAUUUUAUUUGUAUUUGAUGUCUGCAUAUAAAAUAAGUAAGAAUAACAACAUGUAAUGGAAAUUUGAAUACCGUACACAUACUAGAUUACAAGAACAAAACAAUCAUUUUAAUUUCAAUUUCAAUUUUUUAUACGGAAACUAUCACGCGCAGCGAAGGUAAAAUUGACUGGGUCACAAUAACGUCUAUCGGUAUAUAUAUAUUUAGGGAGAUGAUAACUUUCACGAGUGUUUUCAAUCAUUCUUGAUAAAUUUGAACGAUAAAAUGUAAAUAAUUAUUUUGGUAUUGAUUCUCGAAUGUUCUCGUUAAGUUUGAUCGUACGAGAAGAUUCGACAAAACCUGUCGCAUGUUAUCGUCGUCGCUACAUUAUAAUU